This 332-nucleotide unclassified non-coding RNA is filed under the name soil metagenome. RNAcentral's name for it is "partial contains 5.8S ribosomal RNA, internal transcribed spacer 2, and large subunit ribosomal RNA". The stretch from base 1 to 120 matches the Rfam family "5.8S ribosomal RNA", at positions 35 to 154 of the family's 154-position model. The record is from RNAcentral.
GAUGAAGAACGUAGCGAAAUGCGAUAAGUAAUGUGAAUUGCAGGAUUCAGUGAAUCAUCGAAUCUUUGAACGCACAUUGCGCCCGCUAGUAUUCUGGCGGGCAUGCCUGUUCGAGCGUCAUUUCAACCAUCAAGCCCUGUUUAGGCUUGUGUUGGGGCCCUGCGGCUGCCGCAGCCCCCUAAAUGCAGUGGCGGGCUCGUUGUCACUCCGAGCGCAGUAGCGUAUCUCGCUCUGGGCGUGGCGGCGGGUGCUAGCCGUGAAACACCCACUAAGGUUGACCUCGGAUCAGGUAGGAAUACCCGCUGAACUUAAGCAUAUCAAUAAGCGGAGGA